GGCGCUCGGCGCGCAGGUCGUUUGUCAGUCUGAGAGACGACGGGAAGCAGCAGGAGACGGAGCAGCCUCCCCUCUCCUCUCCAACGACCAAACACUCCGCUCCCGCUCUCUCCAACUCCCCUGAAACAACUCCCGACCUCCGGGACUCUCCGUCGCGUCCCUCUCCUCCUUUUUAUUUUCAGUUGCACCUAUUUUUGUUUCCUUCUUCUUCUUCUUCUUCUUCUUCUCACUUAUUCUAAACGUCAGCGGAGAUGUGAUGUAUCUAACGAGGACCCCCUGCCAGCGGUGACUUGUCUCCUUCGUGCUCCAGAGAGCCAAUCAUCAUCAUCCUCCUCCUCGCCCCCCCCCCAAAAUUCUCUGGACUUUCAUCUGCCUUUUAACGAUGUAGAAGAAGGUGCGCUUUUCCCUUUCGGCGACGACUAUGCCCAACUGCACGUCUUUUUAUUUGUGUUUCUUUUUUUUCCCGCUCGCCGCCUCUCAGACCGUUUUUUGUCCCCCGCGGUGGGAUAUAAGAGAUUUCCAUGAAGGCAAAGUUUGAGGGUACCUCUGUCGGCUCGCCCGCUCCUCACCUGUCCGCGUGCGGGCGCGCACCUUUCCCCGCGUGACAGAAAACGUUACCGCCAUUAGGACAAGUGACGCGCGAGCUAAAAGAGACCCUGACUGUCGUCCCGGUGUGGGGGGGUUGGUGGGGGUCUCGGCGGCGUCGUCGGAGGGAUUUGACGUGCGCAGCGUUGAGGGAUAUGGCUUAAAGGAUGGUUGCGCUGCUGGCAGCCGGAGGACGCUCCGUCACUUGAGUGUUUCCAUCAGAUAUUUUUUGUGUCGACUUUGGAGGAAAGCUGAAUCUCUGGAUGGGAGGCGAGCUGGAGGACUGAGUCGGACUCGGCAGCCCGAAAACAAUGUGGAUAAAACGGAGUGUUGCGCGCAGUACGUUUUGUUAUCGAGCCCGAGUCCCGCUCAAGGAGACGUCUGAAGACUCCGGCAGGGAUAUGCAGAUGAGGAGGCUACAGGCGGCCAAAGUUUCCACUCGUCUCCCGGCGACACGUAACCUUGCCCUGACACUUCCACAC
Long non-coding RNA from Gasterosteus aculeatus aculeatus (three-spined stickleback), 1067 nucleotides. NCBI's taxonomy places the organism in Eukaryota, Metazoa, Chordata, Actinopteri, Perciformes, Gasterosteidae. The record is from Ensembl.